This is a long non-coding RNA of Herpailurus yagouaroundi (jaguarundi), 464 nucleotides long. RefSeq lists it as uncharacterized. The record is from RefSeq and is a predicted model, not a curated record. The transcript is spliced from 2 exons. NCBI's taxonomy places the organism in Eukaryota, Metazoa, Chordata, Mammalia, Carnivora, Felidae.
UGGACUCAUUUUCUUCUUUUGGGGUCACCUUUCUAACCCUCCUCUCUCCAGUCCCUUCCCUCUGUCCCUUCAUUCACCCCAGUGAAUUGGUAUUCUUUGCAGGUAGUAUUCCAGGAGGAAUCUCAAACCCUCAUUCUUUGUGAAGUCCAUGUGACCAUCAAAUCAGGAGGCUGUUUCUCUGUGGGCAGUUCUGAGAAUCAAGAUUGUUCAUUUCUGCGUGUGUUGUACCCCUGAAGGAAUGGGAUCGUGAGUAACAUGCAUCCUUCCCACCAAGCAGCGCAUUGGAGUUGAUAGCUAAGUGUCCGUGCAUUAGCUUGCCCUUAGCUAGAGCUCUAGUAUCACACGGUGGUAAGCUGGACACAUAAUUAAAAGUUUGGAAAUACAGUAAAGCAUAAAUUUACUUACAACCCUACCAUCCAGAGGUAACUGCUGUUAGUAUUUUAAUAUAUUUCAUUUUAACCUUC